RNAcentral lists this ribosomal RNA (435 nucleotides) under Globigerinoides ruber ruber. RNAcentral's name for it is "SSU rRNA". It matches the Rfam family "Eukaryotic small subunit ribosomal RNA", at positions 1215 to 1473 of the family's 1831-position model. The record is from RNAcentral. Lineage: Eukaryota; Foraminifera; Rotaliida; Globigerinidae.
GACAGUUACCAUGCCCUUUCGAAAGGAGUCAGGUUUUAAACCUAAUGGCUCUUUCAUGAUUAUAUGAUAGGUGGUGCAUGGCCGUUCUUAGUUCGUGGAGUGAUCUGUCUGCUUAAUUGCGUUUCAAAUUUUUAUUUGAGGACCAGGUUUUGGUUUGGGUAGUGGUCCUACGAUGACUGUGAACUGUCAUGUCUUCGGAUGUGCGACUAUCGGUCUAGGAUCGCAUCUCAGCCCCUGGGACUCUUUUGAACGCAACGGACGUGAUUGCAACCCCUUGUUGAGAUUAGAGGAGUCUCGAUAUUCAUUGGCCAAACUUACCGCUUCGAGCUUGCUCGUGCAGUUUUGUUAGCCGGUGGAUAAACUCGGGGGACUGCUGACUAUAACCAUUUCUCAAAACAGAGGAAGGUUGCGGCAAUAACAGGUCUGUGAUGCCCU